This 110-nucleotide ribosomal RNA is filed under the name Octodon degus (degu). The record is from RNAcentral. Lineage: Eukaryota; Metazoa; Chordata; Mammalia; Rodentia; Octodontidae.
GUUUAUGGCCAUACUACCCUGAACACCUCCAAUCUCGGAAGCUAAGCAGGGUCAGGCCUGGUUAGUACUUGGAUGGGAGAACUUUGUAUGCUCUUUGGGUGUCACAGCCC